GAGGGUAUAGCUCAAUGGUGGAGCACAUACUUAUCAUGCAUGAGGUCCUGGGUUCAAUCCUCAGUACCUCCA
RNAcentral lists this transfer RNA (72 nucleotides) under Camelus bactrianus (Bactrian camel). It matches the Rfam family "tRNA". Rfam says of the family: Transfer RNA (tRNA) molecules are approximately 80 nucleotides in length. RNAcentral also lists the same sequence under 2 other names. The record is from Rfam by way of RNAcentral. Lineage: Eukaryota; Metazoa; Chordata; Mammalia; Artiodactyla; Camelidae.